GGCAAGAGUGAGGCGCAUCGGCCUGCCUGGGCGGGCAGGGGCCCCGCAGACCGCACGCUGUGGUGCGGCACCGUGUGUGAGCGUAGGGGAGCGAGAGCCCAGGCCCUGGUGCGGGGAGGCCUGUCCUGGUGGCUGUGCUGGAGCCCGUGGCAGCCGUGGCCCUUCCCUUGGCAGCCCUGCUGCAGCCUGAGAUGUACAAGACACUUAAUCUUCAUAUUGUUCUGCUUGGAACUGAGACGUGGACAGAAAUGGACAUUUACUCAUUGGCUGGACCAUGCUUUUCACUUUUUUACUCCGUGGACUAGAUAGUUCCUUAAACCCUGCAUACACUUUGACCGUGCACAAUUACUCCUGUAAGGUACUCUUUCAUUUUCAUAUGACUGUAGAUCAGGCUUGUCCAACACGCGGCCUGCCAAGCCAUUUUAUCCGGCCUGUGGCAGCAGCACCGCUGCCGCAGAGCACAGUCGCAGUGGCAGCGCACAUUCCUCCACUUUUAUGAAAGCUUUAAAAGGCAUUUUCAUUUAUGUAACCAAACUUGCUGUUUCCAAUAUUGGGAUGUUGUGGUUUUGCAUCUGAAAUGAGGAGAGUUCAGACUUU
Long non-coding RNA from Alligator mississippiensis (American alligator), 597 nucleotides. RefSeq lists it as uncharacterized. NCBI's taxonomy places the organism in Eukaryota, Metazoa, Chordata, Crocodylia, Alligatoridae. The transcript is spliced from 3 exons. The record is from RefSeq and is a predicted model, not a curated record.